AUGCAAGUCGUACGCACUGGCCCAACUGAUUGAUGGUGCUUGCACCUGAUUGACGAUGGAUCACCAGUGAGUGGCGGACGGGUGAGUAACACGUAGGUAACCUGCCCCGGAGCGGGGGAUAACAUUUGGAAACAGAUGCUAAUACCGCAUAACAACAAAAGCCACAUGGCUUUUGUUUGAAAGAUGGCUUUGGCUAUCACUCUGGGAUGGACCUGCGGUGCAUUAGCUAGUUGGUAAGGUAACGGCUUACCAAGGCGAUGAUGCAUAGCCGAGUUGAGAGACUGAUCGGCCACAAUGGAACUGAGACACGGUCCAUACUCCUACGGGAGGCAGCAGUAGGGAAUCUUCCACAAUGGGCGCAAGCCUGAUGGAGCAACACCGCGUGAGUGAAGAAGGGUUUCGGCUCGUAAAGCUCUGUUGUUGGAGAGGAACGUGCGUGAGAGUAACUGUUCACGCAGUGACGGUAUCCAACCAGAAAGUCACGGCUAACUACGUGCCAGCAGCCGCGGUAAUACGUAGGUGGCAAGCGUUAUCCGGAUUUAUUGGGCGUAAAGCGAGCGCAGGCGGUUGCUUAGGUCUGAUGUGAAAGCCUUCGGCUUAACCGAAGAAGUGCAUCGGAAACCGGGCGACUUGAGUGCAGAAGAGGACAGUGGAACUCCAUGUGUAGCGGUGGAAUGCGUAGAUAUAUGGAAGAACACCAGUGGCGAAGGCGGCUGUCUGGUCUGCAACUGACGCUGAGGCUCGAAAGCAUGGGUAGCGAACAGGAUUAGAUACCCUGGUAGUCCAUGCCGUAAACGAUGAGUGCUAGGUGUUGGAGGGUUUCCGCCCUUCAGUGCCGGAGCUAACGCAUUAAGCACUCCGCCUGGGGAGUACGACCGCAAGGUUGAAACUCAAAGGAAUUGACGGGGGCCCGCACAAGCGGUGGAGCAUGUGGUUUAAUUCGAAGCUACGCGAAGAACCUUACCAGGUCUUGACAUCUUGCGCUAACCUUAGAGAUAAGGCGUUCCCUUCGGGGACGCAAUGACAGGUGGUGCAUGGUCGUCGUCAGCUCGUGUCGUGAGAUGUUGGGUUAAGUCCCGCAACGAGCGCAACCCUUGUUACUAGUUGCCAGCAUUAAGUUGGGCACUCUAGUGAGACUGCCGGUGACAAACCGGAGGAAGGUGGGGACGACGUCAGAUCAUCAUGCCCCUUAUGACCUGGGCUACACACGUGCUACAAUGGACGGUACAACGAGUCGCAAGCUCGCGAGAGUAAGCUAAUCUCUUAAAGCCGUUCUCAGUUCGGACUGUAGGCUGCAACUCGCCUACACGAAGUCGGAAUCGCUAGUAAUCGCGGAUCAGCAUGCCGCGGUGAAUACGUUCCCGGGCCUUGUACACACCGCCCGUCACACCAUGGGAGUUUGUAACGCCCAAAGUCGGUGGCCUAACCUUUAUGGAGGGAGCCG
This 1444-nucleotide ribosomal RNA is filed under the name Limosilactobacillus reuteri. Its description in RNAcentral is "bacterial SSU rRNA". It matches the Rfam family "Bacterial small subunit ribosomal RNA". The record is from RNAcentral. Lineage: Bacteria; Bacillati; Bacillota; Bacilli; Lactobacillales; Lactobacillaceae.